RNAcentral lists this ribosomal RNA (373 nucleotides) under uncultured bacterium. RNAcentral's name for it is "bacterial SSU rRNA". It matches the Rfam family "Bacterial small subunit ribosomal RNA", at positions 525 to 896 of the family's 1533-position model. The record is from RNAcentral.
ACGGGGGGUGCAAGCGUUGUUCGGAAUUAUUGGGCGUAAAGAGCGUGUAGGCGGCUUGGUAAGUCAGAUGUGAAAUCCCUGGGCUUAACCCAGGAAGUGCAUUUGAAACUGCCAGGCUUGAGUAGGGGAGAGGGAAGUGGAAUUCCUGGUGUAGAGGUGAAAUUCGUAGAUAUCAGGAGGAACACCGGCGGCGAAGGCGACUUCCUGGCCCUAUACUGACGCUGAGACGCGAGAGCGUGGGUAGCAAACAGGAUUAGAUACCCUGGUAGUCCACGCCGUAAACGAUGUUCACUAGGUGUUGGGGGUAUUGACCCCCUCAGUGCCGGAGCUAACGCAUUAAGUGAACCGCCUGGGGAGUACGGUCGCAAGACUA